GUAAUACUAAAUCUAUAGCCAAACAUAAUUAAUGACAGAUUUUCAAAAGAAAAAAAAUAUGUUUUAAAAUAAAUAAAAAAUCAAAACUAAUAACUAACCAAUUUUCAUGUUAAUCAUAAUAAAUUUGUUACCAUAAACUGUGGCCUAUUAAAUUCGAAAUUGAAUAUUUGUAAACAAAUUUUUAAAAAUUGAUAUUUAUAGUAUUUAAAUUGUAUAUAUGUAAACAGUUUAUAUUAGGUAAAUAAAAGUAUGAAAUAAAUUAGGUCCAAGGAAAGAUUAAUAUACUAUAAAUAUCUAAAUUCUAUAGAAGUUU
Molecule: long non-coding RNA, 313 nt
Filed under: Capsella rubella
Lineage: Eukaryota; Viridiplantae; Streptophyta; Magnoliopsida; Brassicales; Brassicaceae
Description: long non-coding RNA (CRUB_LNC002489)
Source: RNAcentral